UCUGCCUCUCUAGAUAUUCUUCCAGAUACUCAUCCUAGAAGAAAACCAUUUUCUACUCUUAAUUCAUUCUUUUGUUAUUUAUGAAGGUCUCCUGGAGUUUCUGGCCUGCUGUUGUCUGUGCUGACUGUCCACAUGUGCCGGUUUCGUAGCGCUGUAAAUCUUGACUUUCGCCUCACUAUCACUUGGGGAUUGCCCGGUCUCUCUUUGUGGUAUGUUGUUUCCUAUAUUCCCUGUCUUUCUCUUUCUUGGUUUACUUUGUUUUGGUGGAGUGCAAUUUCUAGUACUUUCCUGAGAAAUUUGUAGCAUAACUAAACAUGUCUUUAUUUUCUACCCUCACACUUGUUUGAUAUUUUGCCAGAGUACAAAAUUCUAGUUUGGAAAUAAUUUUCUCUAUUGUCUUCUGACUCCCAGGGCUCCUGUUGCCAAAUCCUAAACCAUUUUAAUUCUUAAGUCUUUGAUUUUUUUCUCCUCUCUGGAAACUUCCAGAAUUCUUUGCUUUGUUCUAAGGUUCUAAAAUUUCAUAAUGAUAUGUUUAGAUGUACCUCUAAUUCCACUCAUUGUAUUCAGCACUUGACUUUUUUUCACAUCUCUGAUAAUCUGCUCAUAUUUGAAUUAGGAGACCAAAUAGAUGACUGGAAAUCGGUACCACUGAGAGUGCUUUCAGAGAUCUCUGCCAGUGCCUGCUCGUCUUAAAAAGCUGCCAGGAGACACAGUGGUAGAGUGGAAACAACAGAAACUGCUGCCAGCAGAUCUGGGGCAUAACUGUACAUCUAUUCCUUACUGGCUAACAGCUAAUGCAAGAGAUACACCAAGCUGAGCAACAAGAAAAGAUCUACUGAAAGUCUCCUUGGCUUUACCAAGAAAGUUGCCGUGGACCCUUAGGUCACAUAGCCUGACCAUGCUCAGAUGAACCAAUGGUGCAACCACAGGAGGAACCUAAGUGCUCAGCUGAGAAGCAGGGACUGAAUCAAGCAGCAGACACGAUGAUAAAGUUUGGAUGUUUGUCCCCUCAAAAUCUCAUGUUAAAAUAUGACCCCAAUGUUGAGAGUGGGGUCUAAUGAGGGAGUCCUCCCAAGAAUGGCUUAGUGCCCUCCAAGAGGAAAUGGCUGGUAAUAAGUUUACACGAGAUUCGGUUGUUAAAAAGAGCCUAGCACCCCCUCCCUUCUCCCCU
Molecule: long non-coding RNA, 1171 nt
Filed under: Homo sapiens (human)
Lineage: Eukaryota; Metazoa; Chordata; Mammalia; Primates; Hominidae
Description: HSALNT0341867
Source: RNAcentral